CUUGGAUGGCAGUCAUUCACUAAGACAAAAAAAAAAGUAAUAAACAUAAAUGAGAUAAGUAGAUCUGGAGAAUAAACUAAUUUGAUUUUGGACACAUUAAGUUUAAAAGAAAAAAAGAGAAAGAACUGGCAAGAAAAAAGAAAGAAAGAAAAAAAAAAUCUUGUGGGAGUCCUUAAUCUUUAUUCUGGCAACAGUUUUUAACCGGACAGCUGGAGCUGGGUGCUUGACUCUUCUGCCUUGCGAAUGUCCUGUCCACCCUGCCCAAGCCCUGGGAAGGCAGAACCGGCCUCUGCCGAGCUUGGCCUUCAGACACCUCCUCCGAGGCACGGCGUUCACUGUGAGCUUGUGGACAGUUCUUGUGAGCUCGAGCUAUAAGGAAGCUCCUUAAAUGACUUUUAAGCCUCUACUCAAGCCUUCCAAAUCUUACCACCCUUAAAAAUCGAGCUGAAGAUCCAGGUCACAGUUCCCAACUUCCUUCUGGUUCAUGGUGUGAUUUUUCCUCCUCUUACACACAAGAAUGCAUCAGCUACUCAUGUGAAUAUGGGCCCUGCUACACCUCAGGAAGUAGAAUUCAAUGACUGAACAUGACAUUUUCAGAGAGUACAGGAGGUGAGUCUGCUAGGCUGGAAUUCCCACUGCAAUGAUGAGUGAUGAUUGUUACUAUGACUGGACUGAGGCCAUGCUGCACCCUGGAAUGAUCCCUUAUGAUUUCAGAGGCUUGCCGAAUAUCAGGUGCCGGUGAGCAGGAGGAGUAGGAGAAGGCGGAAGAGAAAGAGGAGGAGGCAGAGGACGAAACAAAAGAAAGAAGCAGUCUACAAACAUAAAAGAGUACAAGGAAGAUGAGAAACGCAAAGGUUUUGGAUACCAUACUCCCCUGCUCUAAGAUACACUUUUCAUUUUCACAUCUGAAGAUCCCCGUCACCAGGAUUCAUCUCACAACUGAUGGCGCCCUCCCUCAGCUGUCAGCGCGAACUUUCACGGAAGCUAUUAGCAAGAACCAGCAUGAUGGGGGAGAAGCACCGCUGUAUUCGUCACUACAAAACUCCAGAACAAAUUCACUGAAAGCUUUUAUUAGGGGAUUUGACUUUCUCCCAAGGAAGAUCGUUGCCUUCUGUUGCCUUCUGCUCUGUCCCUAGAGCCCAGAUCUCACAGUUUCUAGUCCAGAGUCCAGACAGAGUUGGCAGAGAAAAGUGACUCGAGUUCCUUGAAAACAAACCACACAUCCCUUCAUCUCUGCACCCCCUCCAGAGCCUUGCAGUCUUCACUGUCAUCACAUUCAAGCACAUGCUGCAUAAAGGAAGGAAGCGGGAAUGGAAUGGACAGGUAGCAUGCUGUGAAUAUAAAGACACUCAGUGGAUUCCUGGCCACUUGGACAGUGGAAGGGGAUUUUCUCAGAGCCACCAAAACCAAUAUUCUAGGCUCACCUAACAUAAUGUAACUGAGAAUUCUUGGUUCUAAUUUGAGGCACCUGAUACAUAAAGGAAGGCGCAUAGGAUGGAGGCCCCAGAGACCGUAUUUAUUACUCAAUGGGGCAGGAAAUUGGGAGAAGGCUCUGGUGUCCAGGAGAAGAGUUCAGGCCAGUGGAUUAAGCCCCAUCAUGAGCCAGGAACUGAGCUAGUCCUGGCUGAAAAUGCAACCACAGCACACACUUCUGCUCUCAAGGGGCUUAGGGUUCGGCGGGGGAGAGACUUACAUAAUACACAUGUGAGACAGUCACAAGUGCGAGAAGCCAUGUCUGCUCAUUUGUGCUUGUCAAGAUAAUUUCACACAGUCCCUGAAUCUGUGAGGCCAUGCAGCUCUUUGGGAAGAUGCUUUGAAGACAAAACAGGAUGGACCACAUGGCUCCCACACCACUUGCCUGAGUCACUAUGCUCCUUAAAAGAUGAAUGACCCUAGCCUUGACUUUUCCUACACAGAAGAUAACGUUUGACAGGGUUAGUGACUAUGCCUCUGUAAUUCAUUACUAAAUGCAUUUUAGUCAUCUAUAACCAGAUAUACUCUGGCACCCAGACUUUGACGUGAUUUUGCACGUACUGAACCUUCACCACCCGUCCAUAAACUGUGAGCUGAAACACCACAUUGGAGCCUCUGAUGGAACUGCUCCCGGGCUGUAGACCUCCAUCUACAGUCUUCGGUAAGGCUUCUGAAUAAAACUAACUUUAAUUCUUUAAAAGUUUGAUUUGUU
This 2185-nucleotide long non-coding RNA is filed under the name Homo sapiens (human). RNAcentral's name for it is "HSALNT0116404". The record is from RNAcentral. Lineage: Eukaryota; Metazoa; Chordata; Mammalia; Primates; Hominidae.